GACUAACGCUGGCGGCGUGCCUAAUACAUGCAAGUAGAACGCUGAAGAGAGGAGCUUGCUCUUCUUGGAAGAGUUGCGAACGGGUGAGUAACGCGUAGGUAACCUGCCUUGUAGCGGGGGAUAACUAUUGGAAACGAUAGCUAAUACCGCAUAACAAUGGGUGACCCAUGUCAUUCAUUUGAAAGGGGCAACUGCUCCACUACAAGAUGGACCUGCGUUGUAUUAGCUAGUAGGUGAGGUAACGGCUCACCUAGGCGACGAUACAUAGCCGACCUGAGAGGGUGAUCGGCCACACUGGGACUGAGACACGGCCCAGACUCCUACGGGAGGCAGCAGUAGGGAAUCUUCGGCAAUGGGGGCAACCCUGACCGAGCAACGCCGCGUGAGUGAAGAAGGUUUUCGGAUCGUAAAGCUCUGUUGUAAGUCAAGAACGAGUGUGAGAGUGGAAAGUUCACACUGUGACGGUAGCUUACCAGAAAGGGACGGCUAACUACGUGCCAGCAGCCGCGGUAAUACGUAGGUCCCGAGCGUUGUCCGGAUUUAUUGGGCGUAAAGCGAGCGCAGGCGGUUUGAUAAGUCUGAAGUUAAAGGCUGUGGCUCAACCAUAGUUCGCUUUGGAAACUGUCAAACUUGAGUGCAGAAGGGGAGAGUGGAAUUCCAUGUGUAGCGGUGAAAUGCGUAGAUAUAUGGAGGAACACCGGUGGCGAAAGCGGCUCUCUGGUCUGUAACUGACGCUGAGGCUCGAAAGCGUGGGGAGCGAACAGG
This 765-nucleotide ribosomal RNA is filed under the name uncultured Streptococcus sp. RNAcentral's name for it is "bacterial SSU rRNA". It matches the Rfam family "Bacterial small subunit ribosomal RNA", at positions 28 to 776 of the family's 1533-position model. The record is from RNAcentral. Lineage: Bacteria; Bacillati; Bacillota; Bacilli; Lactobacillales; Streptococcaceae.